AGACUCUGUGCGCGUGCAUAUCAAUAAGCGGAGGAAAAGAAACUAACAAGGAUUCCCCUAGUAACGGCGAGUGAAGCGGGAAGAGCUCAAAUUUGAAAUCUUAAAGGGUUUCCCUUUACGAAUUGUAGUUUAAAGAAGUGUUUUUCUGUUGGAGUUUCGGUAAAAGUUCUUUGGAAUAGGACAUCAUAGAGGGUGAGAAUCCCGUAUUUGACCGUUACUUUCCAGCUGUGUGAUACACUUUCAAAGAGUCGGAUUGUUUGGGAAUGCAGUCCAAAAUGGGUGGUAAAUUUCAUCUAAAGCUAAAUAUUGGCGAGAGACCGAUAGCGAACAAGUACCGUGAGGGAAAGAUGAAAAGAACUUUGAAAAGAGAGUUAAACAGUACGUGAAAUUGUCAAAAGGGAAGCGUUUGACACCAGUGUUGUUUAGUUGAAAAUCAAUUCAAUAAUUUUUGAUUUUGAGUAGUAUUGACUUCAUCAGCUUGCUGCUUUCUUCUCAGAAAUUAUUGAAUGCACUUUUCAGUUAACAAGUCAACAUCAAUUUCUUUUGUUGUAAAAGGGUAAGAGGAAGGUGGCUUUCUUUUCGGAGAAAGUGUUUAUAGCCUUGUACCUCUGCAAUCGGAGAGAUUGAGGUCUGCAGCGUAGAUCCUUCGGGGCUAGAUACAUUUAUGCUAAGUUAUAGCUUUUCAUAGACAACUUGUUGACUAUGUUUAGUCAUGUAGCUUACUCGCUUAUGCUAUUUUACCUACGCUUAGGAUGUUGAUCUGUAGUGCGUGCGC
RNAcentral lists this ribosomal RNA (775 nucleotides) under uncultured Neocallimastigales. Its description in RNAcentral is "partial large subunit ribosomal RNA". It matches the Rfam family "Eukaryotic large subunit ribosomal RNA", at positions 23 to 645 of the family's 3401-position model. The record is from RNAcentral. Lineage: Eukaryota; Fungi; Neocallimastigomycota; Neocallimastigomycetes; Neocallimastigales.